GCCUAGUGUGGUGUAGUGGUUUGAGUGUUGGACUAUAACUCUUGAGAUCAGGGUUCAAAUCCCUAUUUGGUCA
Molecule: transfer RNA, 73 nt
Filed under: Phrynosoma platyrhinos (Desert horned lizard)
Lineage: Eukaryota; Metazoa; Chordata; Lepidosauria; Squamata; Phrynosomatidae
Description: tRNA-OTHER
Source: RNAcentral